Molecule: long non-coding RNA, 203 nt
Filed under: Solanum tuberosum (potato)
Lineage: Eukaryota; Viridiplantae; Streptophyta; Magnoliopsida; Solanales; Solanaceae
Description: long non-coding RNA (STUB_LNC009287)
Source: RNAcentral
AUGAACACUUUCUUGCUCGAGUCCAAUUGGACUCCACCAUCUCUUGCAUUCUUUUCCCUUUCAAGUCAACCUCCAUAAAAGCCGUGGAAAAAGAAGCUGAAAAUGAGUCCAAAUCCAAGUAGCGGGUAGCAGCAGUAGUCCCAAAUGGCUAGAAAUAACAUUUUUGGACUUAAAAAGUCUAAGAAUGAUAUGCCAGCAGCGGC